Molecule: long non-coding RNA, 243 nt
Organism: Rhipicephalus microplus (southern cattle tick)
Lineage: Eukaryota; Metazoa; Arthropoda; Arachnida; Ixodida; Ixodidae
Source: RefSeq, a predicted model, not a curated record
CGGGAAUGAAGCGCCGUCAUGUUCAUCGUCACAGGGCACAUUACAAGCUGUUGUUGAAACUGGUGAGCAAGACACACCAAGCAUGGUCAUUGAGCCUGUCGAGCGCCCACUCGGCUCAGGGGAUAAUGAUGGCAUAAAUUUUAAACUACCCAGCCUUGGUGCCCUCCAUGAAAAAGUGAUAAGCUCUCCGCUGCUAACACCUUCUACAUUCAGGCAAAUCAUUGACAUCCUGCACAAUGAAAU